RNAcentral lists this long non-coding RNA (426 nucleotides) under Homo sapiens (human). Its description in RNAcentral is "HSALNT0399282". Lineage: Eukaryota; Metazoa; Chordata; Mammalia; Primates; Hominidae. The record is from RNAcentral.
UCACCUGGACACUGUCAUUUCUGCAUGUGACGUCUGGAACCUAUGUAUUCAUCUUGGGACUUAAAAGAAUUAAGGAGAGGACAGAGCUGAUCUAUUGUAAAUGAUGACAUGCAACUGGGGAAUGCUUUGUCCCUUGCGUUGUUUCAGAGUUACUGAAUUACCGACUUGGAGGGGCUCCAAUUUUGUUUUCUCUUGGAAACUGGAUCUGACUCCCAUAAAGAAGCCCAUGCUAACCUGCUAAAGAAUAAGACCAUACGGAAGAAAGAUGAGUUGUUUAACUGGGGCCAUUCUGGACUAUCCAGCCUACAGCAAACCCGCCAGCUGACUGUAGAUGCGGGAGCAAACCCAGCCAAGAUCAGCCAAGAUCAGCCAAUCCCAGCAAAGACAAGAAGAACAUCCUAGGUGGCCAAUAAACUUUUGAUCAAA